GCCUCUGAGCCCAAGCUAAGCCAUCAUAUCCCCUGUGACCUGCAUGUACACAUCCAGAUGGCCGGUUCCUGCCUUAACUGAUGACAUUCCACCACAAAAGAAGUGAAAAUGGCCUGUUCCUGCCUUAACUGAUGACAUUGUCUUGUGAAAUUCCUUCUCCUGGCUCAUCCUGGCUCAAAAGCUCCCCCACUGAGUACCUUGUGACCCCCACUCCUGCCCGCCAGAGAACAACCCCCCUUUUUCCUUUACCUACCCAAAUCCUAUAAAACAGCCCCACCCCUAUCUCCCUUCGCUGACUCUCUUUUCGGACUCAGCCCGCCUGCACCCAGGUGAUUAAAAGCUUUAUUGCUCACACAAAGCCUGUUUGGUGGUCUCUUCACAUGGACGCGCAUGAAAGAAUACAUGAAGCCGGGCACGGUGGCUCACACCUGUAAUCCCAGCACUUUGGAAGGCCGAGGCGGGCGGAUCACCUGAGGUCAGGAGUUCAAGACCAGCCUGGGCAACAUGGAGAAACCCCGUCUCUACUAAAAAUACAAAAAUUAGCUGGGUGUGAUGGCACGAGCCUGUAAUCCCAGCUACCUGGGAGGCUGAGGCAUGAAAAUCUCUUGAACCUGGGAGGGGAGAUCGCGCCACUGCCCUCCAACUUGGGUGACAGAGCGAGGCUCCAUCUCAAAAAGAAGAGUACAUGAAAAGUUCUCAAAUCAUAAAUAAAAAAAAAAUUGUUUGAAAGUUUA
Long non-coding RNA from Pan troglodytes (chimpanzee), 734 nucleotides. RefSeq lists it as uncharacterized. The record is from RefSeq and is a predicted model, not a curated record. The transcript is spliced from 2 exons. Lineage: Eukaryota; Metazoa; Chordata; Mammalia; Primates; Hominidae.